CCUACGGGAGGCUGCAGUGGGGGAUAUUGCACAAUGGGGGGAACCCUGAUCCAGCGACGCCGCGUGAGUGAAGGAGCCUUUCGGCUUGUAAAGCUCUAUCAGCAGGGAAGAAGAUGACGGUAUCUCACGAAGAAGCACCGGCUAACUACGGGCCAGCAGCCGCCGUAAUACGGAGGGGGCAAGCGUUAUUCGGAAUCACUGGGCGUAAAGAGCGCGUAGUCGGGAUAGCAAGUCAGAUGUGAAAACCUCUGGCUUAACCAUAGAACUGCAUUUGAAACUGUUAUUCUAGAGUACGGGAGAGGUAAGUGGAAUUCCUGGUGUAGCGGUAAAAUGCGUAGAGAUAAAGAGGAACACCAGUGGCGAAGGCGGCCUGCUAGACAGUAACUGACGCUGAGGCGCGAAAGCGUGGGGAGCAAACAGGAUUAGAUACCCUUGUAGUC
This 440-nucleotide ribosomal RNA is filed under the name uncultured bacterium. RNAcentral's name for it is "partial 16S ribosomal RNA". It matches the Rfam family "Bacterial small subunit ribosomal RNA", at positions 338 to 795 of the family's 1533-position model. The record is from RNAcentral.